This 468-nucleotide ribosomal RNA is filed under the name uncultured bacterium. RNAcentral's name for it is "partial 16S ribosomal RNA". It matches the Rfam family "Bacterial small subunit ribosomal RNA", at positions 28 to 507 of the family's 1533-position model. The record is from RNAcentral.
GACGAACGCUGGCGGCGUGCUUAACACAUGCAAGUCGAACGGAAAGGCCCUGCUUUUGUGGGGUGCUCGAGUGGCGAACGGGUGAGUAGCACGUGAGUAACCUGCCCUUGACUUUGGGAUAACUUCAGGAAACUGGGGCUAAUACCGGAUAGGAGCUCCUGCAGCAUGGUGGGGGUUGGAAAGUUUCGGCGGUUGGGGAUGGACUCGCGGCUUAUCAGCUUGUUGGUGGGGUAGUGGCUUACCAAGGCUUUGACGGGUAGCCGGCCUGAGAGGGUGACCGGCCACAUUGGGACUGAGAUACGGCCCAGACUCCUACGGGAGGCAGCAGUGGGGAAUAUUGCACAAUGGGCGGAAGCCUGAUGCAGCAACGCCGCGUGCGGGAUGACGGCCUUCGGGUUGUAAACCGCUUUCGCCUGUGACGAAGCGUGAGUGACGGUAAUGGGUAAAGAAGCACCGGCUAACUACGUG